Molecule: long non-coding RNA, 2043 nt
Filed under: Felis catus (domestic cat)
Lineage: Eukaryota; Metazoa; Chordata; Mammalia; Carnivora; Felidae
Description: lncRNA (ENSFCAG00000048500.1)
Source: RNAcentral
AAGCAAGGAAGCUGGCAGCCCCCAACCCCAGCCGGCCUGAAGAAGCCGCCCAGAGGUCGGUGGAACCCCACUGGGGGCCCUCCGUGUGACCUUGUCCGGUCCCAGUAUCGGGGCAGAGCGAGAGAAGGAAGGAGAAAGGGGAAGGCAACUUUGGAAGAUCUUCUGGGUCCCGGGAGGCUGUGGCCAGACGCUUCUCCCCCCAGCCCCGCCGCCGCCGCCGCCGGGGGCCAAAUUCCGAGGCCAGCUGCUGUCCGUGCGGUGAGGAAUCCGGCCCGACGGGAUUCCUGCGCCACUCCCCCUCCUCGAGAGAGGGUGCGGGGCCCCGCGGCAGGGGCAGGGCGGGGGUGCGCAGAGCGCGGGGUGGUCCCCCGGCCCCUGGGGUCCCUCCGCGGCAGGGCCGCCCCCGACAGCGCCCCCAAGUCCCCCACGCCCGCCCGACCCGGCGCGAAUCGCCCCCCAACGUUGGCCUGGCAGCCGCUAACGGCUGGCCCUCCGACUGGCUUGUCGAGGCUGCCGCAGCACUUAGAGCAGGAACAAGGUACCGCCCCCAGGCUGCGGCGCCAGCGUGUGACCCGGCAAGGGUGCCCGGUCCCCGGGGGCGGGACUACUCCGGGCUGCGACCGGGGCGAGCACCCGCGCAGCCCGCCCGCCCGCCCGCCCGCCAAGCGCAGCGGCCUCGGGGCUCGGGCCGGAGACGCCGACCCUCUCCGGUCCCGGCCGCCUGCACCCACUGGCCCCUCGCCCUCCUUCAGCGCCCGCGCGUGGCGGGUGCCCAGUGAGUGUUCAACGAGUGAGGGGACUGGGAGAUUCCCGAGGUGGGGGCGCCAGCGUGGCCUGAGUUCUAAUCCCAGUUCCGCCCUAGUCCCUAUUCGCAGUUUGGCGCUGAGCGGGUGGAUCCCACCGCUCACCGAACACGCCCGGCCCUCGCGACAGAGGCACCGUGAGUACGCCCGCCAUCCGGGCGCAUCUUGGGCACACGCUGCCCAGUCCCCCGCCCCCUCUGCAGCGGGCAAGGACCACGUGACUCCUUAAGUAGGCCACUUCUCCUGGGCGAGCCUCUCUGCCCUCCUAUUCCCCUUGUCUCCGACCAGCAGCCAAGGGUCCAAGAGAAGCAGUUGGGGCCGCGACACGACCGCCAAGGCGCCCCGGGGCCCUGAAUCACCACGCGGAAUUCUCCCUGGCCACGUGAGCGAACCGAGACAGGAACAACAGUCGAACAUGGCCCUCGAGGGCGUGUACCUAGUACACCUGCCCGGGACUCUUCCCUUCCGUGGGAAGCCAGGGAGCUGGCCGCAAGGGGAAGCCAACAGCAUCGCAGGAAGGAAGGAUCUGGAUCCCAGGGCCGAAGAGAGAGGCCUGGCCGGCAACAUGGGCGGGGAGUUUGCUUGAGCCAGACGCAGAGCCUCGCGGUGCACAGCUGCUGCCCUUGGGGGACUGUCCUCAUGGCACCUGGCCUCCCCUUCCUUCGCCGUGUCCACCCGGCAAACCCCCAUGCCAGGUGAACCCAACCUGCCCUUCUCAACUGCCACCGGAAAGCUGAAUGUUCCUGAAGAACACCCUAUAACUGGUUCAACUGGUUUUACCUUCAAUCGGUGCCCUGAGCCAGGGGGGUCCUUAUUCUGUCCUACUGCCUGUUCCAGGAGGUUGGUCUUUCUCAGCCCAGGCGACCCACUUUACCAUCGUAAACGCUUCUAAGGGUACAGUUCAGGACUGUUCACGGAAGUUCUUCAAGCUAUUGUGAAGCAAACUGUUAGGAAUGUUGGUGUACAAAUACCUGUUCAAAUCCGCACUUUUUUUUUUUUAACGUUUUAUUAAUUUCUGAGACAGAGGCAGAGCGUGAGAGGGGAGGGGCAGAGACAGGGGGAGACACAGAAUCCGGAGCAGGCUCCAGGCUCUGAGCUGUGAGCACAGAGCCAAACGUGGGGCUCGGACUCACGGACCGUGAGAUCAUGACCUGAGCCGAAGUCGGGGGCUCAACCGCUGAGCCACCCAGGCGCCCCUCCUUUCCAAUCUUAAAAAGGAAUAAAAUUCUGAUUUUCCACA